RNAcentral lists this ribosomal RNA (303 nucleotides) under uncultured Gammaproteobacteria bacterium. Its description in RNAcentral is "bacterial SSU rRNA". It matches the Rfam family "Bacterial small subunit ribosomal RNA", at positions 9 to 322 of the family's 1533-position model. The record is from RNAcentral. Lineage: Bacteria; Pseudomonadati; Pseudomonadota; Gammaproteobacteria.
GAGUUUGAUCUUGGCUCAGAUUGAACGCUGGCGGCAUGCCUAACACAUGCAAGUCGAACGGGGUGUAGCAAUACACCUAGUGGCGGACGGGUGAGGAAUACAUAGGAAUCUGCCUCAGAGUGGGGGAUAACCCGGGGAAACCCGGACUAAUACCGCAUGAUCUCGCAAGAGCAAAGCAGGGACCGCAAGGCCUUGUGCUCUGAGAGGAGCCUAUGUCUGAUUAGCUAGUUGGCGGGGUAAUGGCCCACCAAGGCAACGAUCAGUAACUGGGUCUGAGAGGACGAUCAGUCACACCGGAACUGA